This is a non-coding RNA of Acanthosepion pharaonis, 112 nucleotides long. The record is from the annotation of a GenBank genome assembly. Lineage: Eukaryota; Metazoa; Mollusca; Cephalopoda; Sepiida; Sepiidae.
UUACGGCCAUAUCACAUUGAAACACCGGUUCCCAUAUGAUCGCUGAAGUUAAGCAAGUGGUGCCUGAUUAGUACUUAGAUGGGUGACUGCUUGGGAAUACCAGGUGCUGUAG